GACGAACGCUGGCGGCGUGCUUAACACAUGCAAGUCGAACGGAAAUUCCCUGCUUUUUUGGGGUGCUCGAGUUGCGAACUGGUGAGUAACACUUGAGUAACCUGCCCUUGACUUUGGGAUAACUUCAUGCAACUUGUGCUAAUACCGGAUAGGAGCUCCUGCUUUUUGGUGGGGGUUGGAAAGUUUCGGCGGUUGGGUAUGGACUGGCGUCUUAUUAGCUUGUUGGUGGGGUAGUGGAUUACCUAAGCUUUGACGGGUAGCGGGGCUGACAGGGUGCCCGGACACAUUGGGACUGAGAUAAGGCACAGACUAAUACGGGAGGGAGGAGUGGGGAGGAGAGCACAACGGGAGGAAGGAUGAUGCAACAAAGCCGCGUGCGGGAUAACGGCAUUCGGGUAGGAAACCGCUAUCGUCUGUGACGAAGCGUGAGUGACGGUAAUGGGAGAAGAAGCACCGGCUAACUACGUG
Molecule: ribosomal RNA, 468 nt
Filed under: uncultured bacterium
Lineage: Bacteria
Description: partial 16S ribosomal RNA
Rfam family: Bacterial small subunit ribosomal RNA
Source: RNAcentral